Molecule: ribosomal RNA, 302 nt
Filed under: uncultured bacterium
Lineage: Bacteria
Also listed under: 1 other name
Description: bacterial SSU rRNA
Rfam family: Bacterial small subunit ribosomal RNA
Source: RNAcentral
AUUGAACGCUGGCGGCAUGCCUUACACAUGCAAGUCGAACGGUAACAGGUCUUCGGACGCUGACGAGUGGCGAACGGGUGAGUAAUACAUCGGAACGUGCCCAGUCGUGGGGGAUAACUACUCGAAAGAGUAGCUAAUACCGCAUACGAUCUGAGGAUGAAAGCGGGGGACCUUCGGGCCUCGCGCGAUUGGAGCGGCCGAUGGCAGAUUAGGUAGUUGGUGGGAUAAAAGCUUACCAAGCCGACGAUCUGUAGCUGGUCUGAGAGGACGACCAGCCACACUGGGACUGAGACACGGCCCAG